AAUGGCUGCAGUAAUUUGACUGUACAAAGGUAGCAUAAUCAUUAGUUUUUUAAUUAAAAGCUUGUAUGAAAGGUUGGACGAAAUAAAAUCUGUCUCUUUUUAAUAUAAUUAGAAUUUAAUUUUUAAGUUAAAAAGCUUAAAUUUUUAUAAAAGACGAGAAGACCCUAUAGAGUUUUAUAAUUUAAAUUUAAUAAUUAAUUUAGAUUUAUUAUUUUUAUUUUUUAAAAAUUAUUUUAUUGGGGUAAUAGAAAGAUUUAAAAAAUUCUUUUUUUUAAAAUUCAUUAAUUUAUGAAAAUUUUAUGAUCCAUUAAAUUUUGAAUAUAAGAUUAAAUUACCUUAGGGAUAACAGCGUAAUUUUUUUAAAGAGUUCUUAUCGAUAAAAGAGUUUGCGACCUCGAUGUUGGAUUAAAGAUUAAUUUAGGUGUAGAAGUUUAAAUUUUUGGUCUGUUCGACCAUUGAAUCUUUACAUGAUCUGAGUUCAAACCGGUGUAAGCCAGGUUGGUUUCUAUCUUUAUUAAAUUUUUAUAUUUUAGUACGAAAGGACCAAAUAUAUAAUAUAUUAAUAUUUAAUUUUAUGAAGAU
This 582-nucleotide ribosomal RNA is filed under the name Speotrechus mayeti. RNAcentral describes it as "partial 16S ribosomal RNA". The stretch from base 342 to 500 matches the Rfam family "Bacterial large subunit ribosomal RNA", at positions 2473 to 2632 of the family's 2925-position model. Lineage: Eukaryota; Metazoa; Arthropoda; Insecta; Coleoptera; Carabidae. The record is from RNAcentral.